This 272-nucleotide ribosomal RNA is filed under the name uncultured bacterium. RNAcentral's name for it is "partial 16S ribosomal RNA". It matches the Rfam family "Bacterial small subunit ribosomal RNA", at positions 1231 to 1500 of the family's 1533-position model. The record is from RNAcentral.
UGGCGUAAACANAGGGAAGCGAAGCGGUGACGUGGAGCGAAUCCCAAAAAUAACGUCCCAGUUCGGAUUGUAGUCUGCAACCCGACUACAUGAAGCUGGAAUCGCUAGUAAUCGCGGAUCAGAAUGCCGCGGUGAAUACGUUCCCGGGUCUUGUACACACCGCCCGUCACACCAUGGGAGCCGGGAACACCCGAAGUCCGUAGUCUAACCUAUAUGGAGGACGCGGCCGAAGGUGGGUUUGGUAAUUGGGGGUGAAGUCGUAACAAGGUACC